GUAGCUUACAUAAAGCAUAUUAUUGAAGCUAAUAAAACGGUCCUUGACCCCUAAGCACUGU
Molecule: transfer RNA, 61 nt
Filed under: Limnodrilus hoffmeisteri
Lineage: Eukaryota; Metazoa; Annelida; Clitellata; Tubificida; Naididae
Description: tRNA-Phe
Source: RNAcentral